AGGGCCGCGGUAGCCUGACCGUGCGAAGGUAGCAUAAUCAUUUGUCUCUUAAUUGGGGGCUGGUAUGAAGGGUUGGAUGAGGGACCAACUGUCUUUUAAUUAAAUGCUGAAUUUUACUUUUAAGUUAGAAGGCUUAAAUUUAGUUAAGUGAAGAUAAGACCCUAUAAAACUUAUAUAGAGGGCUAGCCUCAAUCUUUCCUAAUAUGUUUAUGGGGGAGUGGUUAGUUCUAUAUUUUGUUGGGGCGACAAGAAUAGAACUCACAAUAUCUGUUACUUUUUAAUCAGUUAGAUAUUUUUAAAAGGUGAUCCUUUUUUAGGGAUUAUAAGAUUAAGUUACUUUAGGGAUAACAGCGUAAUUUUCUUUGAGAGACCAGAUCGACAAGAUUAGUUGCGACCUCGAUGUUGAAUUAAAAUUUUCUACCAGGGGCAGGAGUUUGGUAAGAUAAGUCUGUUCGACUUAUAAAAUUUU
Molecule: ribosomal RNA, 469 nt
Filed under: Periclimenella spinifera
Lineage: Eukaryota; Metazoa; Arthropoda; Malacostraca; Decapoda; Palaemonidae
Description: partial 16S ribosomal RNA
Rfam family: Archaeal large subunit ribosomal RNA
Source: RNAcentral